Bos indicus x Bos taurus (hybrid cattle) is the source of this 1728-nucleotide long non-coding RNA. Lineage: Eukaryota; Metazoa; Chordata; Mammalia; Artiodactyla; Bovidae. The record is from Ensembl.
AUGAACGGAUGAAUCAGUUUUUUAGGAGGAGGCCUGGAGGACAGUGCUUCUGGAGGAGCUGGCUUGCUUAGAAGACUGGAACGAGCGUCUUCAUCAGGCUGUGGAAAGUCGAAACUGCACGCUGUGAAGUUAGAGGAAAAUCCCUCUUCCUGGGGAGGAAGGAGGUCAACCAGGUGGGGGCUGGAGUCAGGUUCCUUGACCCUGGAUGGAGCCCUCGAGCUGGGUCUGCGCUGCACCGCUCCAGGUGGCAGCCCUCACCCCUGCAGAGGCCUCGAGGAACGAAUUCUCCGGAGUCUCUGGUACUGCGGUUCCGGCGUGGAUGUCUCCAAGGCUGCUGUGAACCUAUGGAUGAAACUCCUAGCUCACCCACAGUCUAUUACUCCCUGCCCUAAAGUAAACAGUUUAUGUACGCGAUGUUGCAGCUGUCUGAGACAUGCACAUUCUUUUGCCUCCUGGUGGGCACUGGGAGCUUCACGUGGCUUACUAAGACAAUGGGGACUUGGAAAGUGGAUGUGAGGCAAGGAGAUACUCAGCCUGUACCAGCACCCAGGGUGACCUCAGGAGUACAAAAUCCACAGCUGAGCCUGGGUGGGGUGGGGGUGGAGUGGUGACACGUUCAACUCAUGCAGGGCACCAGAGGCUCAUACCAGUUGGCUGGUACCCAGGGGAAAAGGGAAGAUUUCUUUUUUUCCCCUUAAUUUUGUGGGCUUUAUUCACAGAAAUCCAGAAUAAGUGGUGUGUGUGUGCGUGUGUGUGUGUAUUGUUAAACAAUCAACCACAGAAGAGGCCAAGUUUUUCUUCCUUCCUUUUACUAUGGAAAUAAGUUUAAACCUUGUUCUCCAGGCUUGGAGUGUAGUUUCAAACUAUGAGUAGGUUUAUUGUGAGAGACCCAGAUCAGCUUCAUGAGAAUCGGCCCUUCCCUCCAGUGUCUGAAGUCAUGUCUGGCUUGCCUAGAAGUCCUGUUCUGUUUUGGGUACCACUGUUUAACCUUACUUCAUAGUUUUUCAAGGGAGUAUAUCUCAUUCACAAUUUUCAUUCCAGCUUUUUUGGGAGGAGGGGGAGUUCGGUAGUUGAGAUUGGUUUAGAUUCAUAAGAAAAUUAUAUUGUUUUUGAUGUGUUUUGAAAUGAACAUGUUUUUGAUGUGUUUAUGAAUUUGGUUGAGUAGGAUUUUGUAUCCAUUAUAACACAAAAAGCAAUCCCUUUAGAAAAACUGUAACACAGGGCAUGUCAGUCCCAUCAGUUCUGACAUUUUAGGCUGGGUAAUUUUUCAUUGUUGGUGGCUGCCCUGUACUUUGUAGAGUACUGAACAGCAUCCCUGGCCUCCACCCGUUAAUGCCAGAAGCACUGUCCCCCACCCUCACCCCAGGGUGACAGUCAAAGCCGCUUCCCUCGUGCUUCAGUGGUAAAGAAUCCACCUGCCAAUGCAGGAGUCAGAGGUUCAAUCCCUGGUCGGGGAAGAUCCCACACGAGUCAGAGCAACUAAGCCUGUGCACCACAACUACUGAGCCUGAGCUCUAGAGCCCAGACACAGCAACGACUGAGCCCACGCGUCCUAGAGCCUGUAUUCUGCAACGGGUCACUGCAAGAGAGGCCACUGCAGUGAGGAGCUGGGCAGCCAAACUAGAGAGUAGCCCCCACCCCCAGCCACAACUAGAGGAGAGCCAGUGCAGCAACAAAGACCCAGCACCGUCAAACUUAAAUAAAAAAUUUAAAGUCCUUAAAGGGACA